UACGGAGGAUGCAAGCGUUAUCCGGAUUUAUUGGGUUUAAAGGGUGCGCAGGCGGGAGAUUAAGUCGGCGGUGAAAUUUUGCAGCUCAACUGUAAAAGUGCCUUCGAAACUGGUUUCCUUGAGUGUAGAUGAAGUAGGCGGAAUUUGUGGUGUAGCGGUGAAAUGCAUAGAUAUCACGAGGAACUCCGAUUGCGCAGGCAGCUUACUAAACCAUAACUGACGCUCAGGCACGAAGGCGUGGGGAUCAAACAGGAUUAGAUACCCCCGUA
RNAcentral lists this ribosomal RNA (269 nucleotides) under uncultured prokaryote. RNAcentral describes it as "partial 16S ribosomal RNA". It matches the Rfam family "Bacterial small subunit ribosomal RNA", at positions 524 to 792 of the family's 1533-position model. The record is from RNAcentral.